GACGAACGCUGGCGGCGUGCCUAACACAUGCAAGUCGAACGGAGUUCCACGCUGAAACAGAUACUAGCUUGCUAGAGGAAGUUUCUUGUGUAACUUAGUGGCGGACGGGUGAGUAACGCGUGAGCAACCUGCCUUACAGAGGGGGACAACAUUGGGAAACCGAUGCUAAUACCGCAUAACAUAUACUUGUGGCAUCGCAGGUAUAUCAAAGGAGCAAUCCGCUGUAAGAUGGGCUCGCGUCCGAUUAGAUAGUUGGUGAGGUAAACGGCUCACCAAGUCGACGAUCGGUAGCCGGACUGAGAGGUUGAACGGCCACAUUGGAACUGAGAAAACGGUCCAGACUCCUACGGGAGGCAGCAGUGGGGAAGUAAUUGGG
This 376-nucleotide ribosomal RNA is filed under the name uncultured bacterium. RNAcentral's name for it is "bacterial SSU rRNA". It matches the Rfam family "Bacterial small subunit ribosomal RNA", at positions 28 to 375 of the family's 1533-position model. The record is from RNAcentral.